Molecule: ribosomal RNA, 429 nt
Filed under: Verrucomicrobiota bacterium
Lineage: Bacteria; Pseudomonadati; Verrucomicrobiota
Description: Verrucomicrobia bacterium partial 16S ribosomal RNA
Rfam family: Bacterial small subunit ribosomal RNA
Source: RNAcentral
UAGGGAAUCUUCCGCAAUGGACGAAAGUCUGACGGAGCAACGCCGCGUGAGUGAAGAAGGUUUUCGGAUCGUAAAGCUCUGUUGUUAAGGAAGAACGAGUGUGAGAAUGGAAAGUUCAUGCUGUGACGGUACUUAACCAGAAAGGGACGGCUAACUACGUGCCAGCAGCCGCGGUAAUACGUAGGUCCCGAGCGUUGUUCGGAUUUAUUGGGCGUAAAGCGAGCGCAGGCGGUUAGAAAAGUCUGAAGUGAAAGGCAGUGGCUCAACCAUUGUAGGCUUUGGAAACGGUUUAACUUGAGUGCAGAAGGGGAGAGUGGAAUUCGAUGUGUGGCGGUGAAAUGCGUAGAUAUAUGGAGGAACACCGGUGGCGAAAGCGGCUCUCUGGUCUGUAACUGACGCUGAGGCUCGAAAGCGUGGGGAGCGAACAGG